UGGAUGUAUGUCAUAGCAAUAGAGACAAGAGCAGUUGUAAUCAGAAGGAGAAUGAACACAACAAAAAGAAUGCCAUAUAUUGUGUAUAUCCUGUAACCCCAAACACUAGCAAAUAUGUAAUAUAGCUGAAUAUAGAUGACACCAAAAGGCAAAAGUCCUGCCAUUGCCAUUUGGGUUAUGACACGCCUGUACCAACGCUGUGGGGGAACCUCACGAGGACACUUUGUGGUGUGACAAGGAGCUUGAAACUCAGACCUUAUUCUCUUCCCAGAAAUCGCACCUAACACAAGUGACGGUAAUGCUAGAAAAACCCAGAGGAGAAGUAUAACCACAAUUGUGCCCAAAGGAAGUGCUGCAGUAGACCCAUAGUUGAAUGCAACAGUAUUAAGGAAGAAAAAGGUCAGCAACAAGGGGCAAGAGAACAUUCCUCCCGUCAGCAAUAGAACACUUAGCGAGUUG
This 459-nucleotide unclassified non-coding RNA is filed under the name Hevea brasiliensis (rubber tree). The record is from RNAcentral. Lineage: Eukaryota; Viridiplantae; Streptophyta; Magnoliopsida; Malpighiales; Euphorbiaceae.